RNAcentral lists this ribosomal RNA (507 nucleotides) under uncultured Glomus. RNAcentral describes it as "SSU rRNA". It matches the Rfam family "Eukaryotic small subunit ribosomal RNA", at positions 569 to 1078 of the family's 1831-position model. The record is from RNAcentral. Lineage: Eukaryota; Fungi; Glomeromycota; Glomeromycetes; Glomerales; Glomeraceae.
AGCAGCCGCGGUAAUUCCAGCUCCAAUAGCGUAUAUUAAAGUUGUUGCAGUUAAAAAGCUCGUAGUUGAAUUUCGGGAUCAGACUGUCGGUCGUGCCUCGGUACGCACUGGCAUUAUUGGUUCCUACCUUCUGAAGAACCGCGAUGUCAUUAAUUUGGUGUCGCGGGGAAUCAGGACUGUUACUUUGAAAAAAUUAGAGUGUUUAAAGCAGGCUUACGCUUGAAUACAUUAGCAUGGAAUAAUGAAAUAGGACGUUUGAUUCUAUUUUGUUGGUUUCUAGGAUCGACGUAAUGAUUAAUAGGGAUAGUUGGGGGCAUUAGUAUUCAAUUGUCAGAGGUGAAAUUCUUGGAUUUAUUGAAGACUAACUACUGCGAAAGCAUUUGCCAAGGAUGUUUUCAUUAAUCAAGAACGAAAGUUAGGGGAUCGAAGACGAUCAGAUACCGUCGUAGUCUUAACCAUAAACUAUGCCGACUAGGGAUCGGAUGAUGUUAAUUUUAUAAUGACUCA